UCCAGACUCCUACGGGAGGCAGCAGUGGGGGAUAUUGCACAAUGGGGGGAACCCUGAUGCAGCGACGCCGCGUGGGUGAAGGAGCGUUUCGGCGCGUAAAGCCCUAUCGGCAGGGAAGAAGGAGGACGGUACCUGACUAAAAAGCCCCGGCUAACUACGUGCCAGCAGCCGCGGUAAUACGUAGGGGGCAAGCGUUAUCCGGAUUUACUGGGUGUAAAGGGGGCGCAGACGGCAGCGCAAGCCAGGAGUGAAAGCCCGGGGCCCAACCCCGGGACUGCUCUUGGAACUGCGCGGCUGGAGUGCAGGAGGGGCAGGCGGAAUUCCUGGUGUAACGGUGAAAUGCGUAGAUAUCAGGAGGAACACCGGUGGCGAAGGCGGCCUGCUGGACUGCGACUGACGUUGAGGCUCGAGAGCGUGGGGAGCAAACAGGAUUAGAUACCCCAGUAGA
This 448-nucleotide ribosomal RNA is filed under the name uncultured bacterium. RNAcentral describes it as "partial 16S ribosomal RNA". It matches the Rfam family "Bacterial small subunit ribosomal RNA", at positions 330 to 794 of the family's 1533-position model. The record is from RNAcentral.